GUUAGACGGGGCCCGCACAAGCAGCGGAGCGUGUGGUUUAAUUCGAUGCAACGCGAAGAACCUUACCAAGGCUUGACAUGCCAGAAGUAGGAACUCGAAAGAGAGACCACCUGUAUCCAGUCAGGAACUGGCACAGGUGCUGCAUGGCUGUCGUCAGCUCGUGCCGUGAGGUGUUAGGUUAAGUCCUGCAACGAGCGCAACCCUCGUCGCUAGUUAAAUUUUUCUAGCGAUACUGCCCGUAAAACGAGGAGGAAGGUGGGGAUGACGUCAAGUCAGCAUGGCCCUUACGCCUUGGGCUACACACACGCUACAAUGGGUGAUACAACGGGUUGCGAGAGAGCGAUCUGGAGCUAAUCCCUAAAAUCAUCCUCAGUUCGGAUUGCAGGCUGAAACUGCCUGCAUGAAGUUGGAGUUGCUAGUAACCGCAGGUCAGCACACUGCGGUGAAUACGUUCUCGGGCCUU
RNAcentral lists this ribosomal RNA (463 nucleotides) under uncultured Chloroflexota bacterium. RNAcentral's name for it is "bacterial SSU rRNA". It matches the Rfam family "Bacterial small subunit ribosomal RNA", at positions 916 to 1381 of the family's 1533-position model. Lineage: Bacteria; Bacillati; Chloroflexota. The record is from RNAcentral.